CGGGGGGCAGCAGUAGGGAAUAUUGGGCAAUGGACGAAAGUCUGACCCAGCCAUCCCGCGUGCAGGAUGACGGUCCUCUGGAUUGUAAACUGCUUUUGUCUGGGAAGAAAAGUCUGAUUCUUCAGGUACUGACGGUACCAGACGAAUAAGCACCGGCUAACUACGUGCCAGCAGCCGCGGUAAUACGUAGGGUGCAAGCGUUAUCCGGAUUCACUGGGUUUAAAGGGUGCGUAGGCGGCUUUUUAAGUCAGUGGUGAAAACCUACAGCUUAACUGUAGAACUGCCAUUGAAACUGAAAAACUUGAGUACAAUUGAAGUGGGCGGAAUACAUCAUGUAGCGGUGAAAUGCUUAGAUAUGAUGUAGAACACCGAUUGCGAAGGCAGCUCACUAAAUUGCAACUGACGCUGAGGCACGAAAGCGUGGGUAGCGAACAGGAUUAGAUACCCCAGU
This 451-nucleotide ribosomal RNA is filed under the name uncultured prokaryote. RNAcentral's name for it is "bacterial SSU rRNA". It matches the Rfam family "Bacterial small subunit ribosomal RNA", at positions 342 to 791 of the family's 1533-position model. The record is from RNAcentral.